Molecule: ribosomal RNA, 497 nt
Filed under: uncultured bacterium
Lineage: Bacteria
Description: partial 16S ribosomal RNA
Rfam family: Bacterial small subunit ribosomal RNA
Source: RNAcentral
GAUGAACGCUGGCGGCGUGCCUAAUACAUGCAAGUCGAGCGAGCAGACGAGGAGCUUGCUCCUCUGACGUUAGCGGCGGACGGGUGAGUAACACGUGGAUAACCUACCUAUAAGACUGGGAUAACUUCGGGAAACCGGAGCUAAUACCGGAUAAUAUAUUGAACCGCAUGGUUCAAUAGUGAAAGACGGUUUUGCUGUCACUUAUAGAUGGAUCCGCGCCGCAUUAGCUAGUUGGUAAGGUAACGGCUUACCAAGGCAACGAUGCGUAGCCGACCUGAGAGGGUGAUCGGCCACACUGGAGCUGAGACACGGUCCAGACUCCUACGGGAGGCAGCAGUAGGGAAUCUUCCGCAAUGGGCGAAAGCCUGACGGAGCAACGCCGCGUGAGUGAUGAAGGUCUUCGGAUCGUAAAACUCUGUUAUUAGGGAAGAACAAAUGUGUAAGUAACUAUGCACGUCUUGACGGUACCUAAUCAGAAAGCCACGGCUAACUACGUG